CAAUAGCGUAUAUUAAAGUUGUUGCAGUUAAAAAGCUCGUAGUUGGACUUGUGGCAGUUCCUGUGGUCCAUCUUUGGUACUAUCGGGGACCGCCAUCUUUGGGUGGAUCCUGUGUGGCAUUAGGUUGUCGUGCAGGGGAUGCCCAUCAUUUACUGUGAAAAAAUUAGAGUGUUCAAAGCAGGCUUUCGCUUGAAUACAUUAGCAUGGAAUAAUAAGAUAGGACUUUGGUGCUAUUUUGUUGGUUGAGCCUAAAGUAAUGAUUAAUAGGGAUAGUUGGGGGCACCUGUAUUGCGUUGUCAGAGGUGAAAUUCUUGGAUUUACGCAAGACAAACAGCUGCGAAAGCGUCUGCCAAGGAUGUUUNCAUUA
RNAcentral lists this ribosomal RNA (367 nucleotides) under uncultured eukaryote. Its description in RNAcentral is "partial 18S ribosomal RNA". It matches the Rfam family "Eukaryotic small subunit ribosomal RNA", at positions 592 to 975 of the family's 1831-position model. The record is from RNAcentral.